This is a long non-coding RNA of Micropterus salmoides (largemouth bass), 626 nucleotides long. RefSeq lists it as uncharacterized. The record is from RefSeq and is a predicted model, not a curated record. The transcript is spliced from 3 exons. NCBI's taxonomy places the organism in Eukaryota, Metazoa, Chordata, Actinopteri, Centrarchiformes, Centrarchidae.
AUCGGGGUGCACACAUCAUCGAGGAGAUUCAGGUCUUCACACAACCUCAGCUGGUCAAAAACAUCAUCCUCUCCCCGUCCAAGGGACCGCAUCCUUCGAAGGCUGCAUUUGAAGACCGAAUACGUCACAGUCGGUGCGACUAGGCUGUCCCAUUUCGAAGGCUCCUUCAAGUGCGGCCGACAAAUGCAACCUUCUUUUCGUCCUUUUGGAGGAUCCAACAGCUGGAUCCUUCGCAGCCCCAGGUGUCCCGACAUUCAUUGCACGUCGGCUGUGGCUGUGGAGUUGAGCCCCCCGGAUUUUACCUAUAAAUGGAGCAAGGAGCAAACUGUCCUCUUUAUUAAAAUGAGGGGGGAGAGCGACCACCUCUUCACCGGGGCAAAAUUUUCUGCCAACAUGGCUUGGAGGUAAUUAAAGUAUCAAUAGCCCUUUUGUAAUAUCUGCAUUUAAUCAUCGUGUACUUAAAAUUACAGUUAAAUGAACCGCCAUCAAAUUCAAAGCCUUUAACAAUAAGACAACCAGUAAAUGGGGCAGCCCUUUGUUGUGUCUUCACACAAUUACCAUGAACUGCAAUUUCCCCACUGUGGGACAAAUAAUGUUUUUUCUUAUCUUAUCUUUCUUAUUUCUUU